AUUGAACGCUGGCGGCAUGCUUUACACAUGCAAGUCGAACGGUAACAGGGAGCUUGCUCCGCUGACGAGUGGCGAACGGGUGAGUAAUGCGUCGGAACGUGCCGAGUAGUGGGGGAUAACGCAUCGAAAGGUGUGCUAAUACCGCAUACGUACUGAGGUAGAAAGUGGGGACCUUCGGGCCUCACGCUAUUCGAGCGGCCGACGUCUGAUUAGCUAGUUGGUGAGGUAAAGGCUCACCAAGGCGACGAUCAGUAGCGGGUCUGAGAGGAUGAUCCGCCACACUGGGGACUGAGACACGGCCCAGACUCCUACGGGAGGCAGCAGUGGGGAAUUUUGGACAAUGGGCGCAAGCCUGAUCCAGCCAUGCCGCGUGUCUGAAGAAGGCCUCGGGUUGUAAAGGACUUUUGUCCGGGAGCAAAUGCCGGUGGCUAACAUCCACCGGAGCUGAGAGUACCGGAAGAAUAAGCACCGGCUAACUACGUGCCAGCAGCCGCGGUAAUACGUAGGGUGCAAGCGUUAAUCGGAAUUACUGGGCGUAAAGCGUGCGCAGGCGGUUUUGUAAGCCAGAUGUGAAAGCCCAGGGCUCAACCUGGGAACUGCGUUUGGAACUACAAGACUAGAGUGUGUCAGAGGGGGUGGAAUUCCGCGUGUAGCAGUGAAAUGCGUAGAGAUGCGGAGGAACACCGAUGGCGAAGGCAGCCCCCUGGGGAUAACACUGACGCUCAUGCACG
Molecule: ribosomal RNA, 731 nt
Filed under: uncultured bacterium
Lineage: Bacteria
Description: bacterial SSU rRNA
Rfam family: Bacterial small subunit ribosomal RNA
Source: RNAcentral